This 1349-nucleotide ribosomal RNA is filed under the name metagenome. Its description in RNAcentral is "bacterial LSU rRNA". It matches the Rfam family "Bacterial large subunit ribosomal RNA", at positions 1564 to 2925 of the family's 2925-position model. The record is from RNAcentral.
UGAGUACGAGCGGCUACGGCCGCGAAGUGGAUGAUGUCAAGCUUCCAAGAAAAGCCCUAUACCCGUUAAGGCAUGAUGGCCUGUACCCGAAACCGACACAGGUGGGGUGGUAGAGAAUACCGAGGGGCGCGAGGUAACUCUCUCUAAGGAACUCGGCAAAAUGGCCCCGUAACUUCGGGAGAAGGGGUGCCACCGCGAGGUGGUCGCAGUGAAGAGGCCCAGGCGACUGUUUACCAAAAACACAGGUCUCCGCUAAGUCGCAAGACGAUGUAUGGGGGCUGACGCCUGCCCAGUGCCGGAAGGUUAAGGAAGCUGGUCAGCGCAAGCGAAGCUGGCGACUGAAGCCCCGGUGAACGGCGGCCGUAACAAUAACGGUCCUAAGGUAGCGAAAUUCCUUGUCGGGUAAGUUCCGACCCGCACGAAAGGCGUAACGAUCUGGGCGCUGUCUCGGAGAGAGGCUCGGCGAAAUAGAAUUGUCUGUGAAGAUGCGGACUACGUGCACCCGGACAGAAAGACCCUAUGAAGCUUUACUGUAGCUUGGUAUUGUGCUCGGGCUCGGAAUGCGCAGGAUAGGUGGGAGGCUUUGAUCCAUUGCUUGCGGGUGAUGGUGAGCCACUGGUGAGAUACCACUCUUUCCGAGCUAGAGUUCUAACAGCAACCCGUUAUCCGGGUGCUGGACAGUAUCAGGUGGGCAGUUUGACUGGGGCGGUCGCCUCCUAAAAGGUAACGGAGGCGCGCAAAGGUCUGCUCAGGCUGGUUGGAAAUCAGCCGACGAGUGUAAAAGCAGAAGCAGGCUUGACUGUGAGACCUACAAGUCGAACAGGGAGGAAACUCGGCUUUAGUGAUCCGACGGUUCUGCGUGGAAGGGCCGUCGCUCAACGGAUAAAAGUUACUCUAGGAUAACAGGCUGAUCUCCCCCAAGAGUUCACAUCGACGGGGAGGUUUGGCACCUCGAUGUCGGCUCAUCGCAACCUGGGGCUGAAGUCGGUCCCAAGGGUUGGGCUGUUCGCCCAUUAAAGCGGUACGCGAGCUGGGUUCAGAACGUCGUGAGACAGUUCGGUCCAUAUCCGGUGCACGCGCAGGAAUAUUGAGAGGAUUUCUCCCUAGUACGAGAGGACCGGGAGGAACGCACCUCUGGUGUGCCAGUUAUCGUGCCAACGGUAAACGCUGGGUAGCCAUGUGCGGAGUGGAUAACCGCUAAAAGCAUCUAAGUGGGAAGCCCACCUCAAGAUGAGUAUUCCCAUGGCAUAAGCCAGUAAGGUCACGGGAAGAACACCCGUUGAUAGGCUCUACGUGGAAGCGCAGUAAUGUGUGAAGCGGAGGAGUACUAAUAGACCGAGGGCUUGACC